AGGUUCUCCUCCAUCUUCCUCCAUGGCAGGCUGUUUGAAGAAAGGGGCGUGAGAAUUAAUUAUAAUAUUACGAUAUUUAAAUGAUGAUGGGAAAAUUUAUUAUAAAUGAUUGUAUCAAAAAUGAAUGAAUGAAAGAAACACAAGAAGUUAUCAUACAUGUAUAUAUGUAUUUAGACUUUUUAACGGUACUGUAUGAUAUAUAUAUAUAGAUAGAUAGAUAGAUAGAAUAUCUAAUGAAAAUAUUCAUUAAAAUAAGGUUUCAAUCAAUUAUGAACAAGCAACAGUUGAACUUACUUGGCUUGCUCACGUAACAUUAUAUUAAUAUUAGUCACAUGGCACUCUAAAGAGGAAGACCAACCUGAUUGAAACCACUUUCUUUACCUGAACUCUCUGUUCUUGAGUAGGCCUACAUAGAGAAGUGACACCUUUCUUUACCUGAACUCUGUUAUUCGGCUCUGGAUAGACCGAAACAAUUCUUCCUCUCCUGAACGUUAAUAUCCAUUAAUGCUGAGGAUGCUGUCUUAACAGUAACUGAAAAACUUUAAAUGAGUGCAAAUACAUUUUUUAAGUCAGACUCCCAGUGACAUUUCACCGUUUUAAGGGCCUUUACAUGGGAGCGCCGUUGUAAGCCCUGGUAAUUAAUAAGGCCAAGCAAAUGAUCUGUAUCAAGUGUUUGUUGUCUGGAUGUUCCUCAAAUCUACUGCUCAAACAAUGCUGAGCUGUGGACGAUGUAAACCUGUGUUAUGUGGUUGAUGUGAUUAAAGGGUGAGACUGGAGACUGAGGAAACGGACCAAACACAGGAGAUUAGUACUGAAGUGUCCCGCAAGAAGUGGAAAUACUUGCGUGAUAAAUAUUUGAAGGAGAGGAAGGCAGAGAGGGACAGAAAAAAAAAUGGGGCCGGUGCCACCUCUUUCAAGAGGUGGAAGUAUAUGGCCAUCAUGGGCUUCCUGGAGCGCCAUGUGAAGGAGAGGGUGACAGCCAGCAAUAUGGAGCAGGGAGAGUAUAGCCAGGAUAGCCAGGAGAUAGCACCGGAGAUCUUGGCCCUGCUAGCGCCCAGUAUGUCUCCCCAACAAGAGGUGGUGGCUCAAAGUGAAGAGGAGAUAUCUCCUCCCUCUUCCAGCCUCUCACAGUCCGCUGCGGACACCUCUCCUCCAUCUCCUCCCACUACCUCUACGGUGGCUCUGGUCACACCGCUGCGUCCUGCACCUCCACCACCACGGAGGAGACAGCUGGAGCAGCCGCUGUCUGCGUUCCAGAAAUCAAUCAUGUCCUCCAUCCAAAAGGAAAAGGAGAAUGCACUGGCUGUUGACGAGGAUGAGCAUUUUAUGCUCAGCCUCGUCCCAUCGUUGAGGAGGCUGUCACACCAAAAAAAGGCCCAGGUGCGCAUGAGGAUGCAGCAGGUCCUGUACGAUGUGGAGUUUGGAGAGUAAUGAAUUUGUAACCAAUUUCUAUUUAGAUUUAGUUUCAGCUUUAAGAUUUUUUAAAUGUGUACAUAUCUUGGAAUCAUUUUCUAUUUAUAUUUAGUAUAAGCUAUAAGAAAUAUUUAAAUGUGUACAUAAUAUCUUGGAAUCAAUUUCUAUUUAGAUUUAGUACAAGCUAUAAGAAAUGUUUCAAAUGUGUACAUAAUAUCUUGGAAUCAUUUUC
This is a long non-coding RNA of Gadus morhua (Atlantic cod), 1645 nucleotides long. Lineage: Eukaryota; Metazoa; Chordata; Actinopteri; Gadiformes; Gadidae. The record is from Ensembl.